AACAAACUGAUGAAAGAAUGAUCAAACCGAGGGAAUUCACUCAGAACUAACAAUAAUGAUAACGUGCUCCGACUGGUGCGGUUUAGGAACUGCUGGAAGGCUCUAGGGGAAUAAAGAUGGAAUGACUUCUAAUUUUUAGGUCCGUAUGAUUUGAAAUACUUGCACACAAACCGCGCGAAAGCGUUCCUGGAAAUCUCAGCCCAAAAAAGGACGUUUAGUAAUUUUAAAAGGGACUAUAGGAUGAAAAACAAUAGUUUUGGCAAUUAAAGUUUGAGAUUCGACGGUGUCGUAGAUCCGUUUGGUCAUCAGGUGUUACGAGCCACACCCAUGUCUAGCUAGAAUAGUAUGUCAGGCUCAGGUUAGAGUAGAAACGGGGAACAAACUGAUGAAAGAAUGAUCAUACCAAGGGAAUUCACUCAGAACUAUCAAGAAUGAUAACGUGCUCCGACUGGAGUGAUUUAGGAACUGCUGGAAGGCUCUAGGGGAAUAAAGAUGGAAUGACUUCUAAUUUUUACGUCCGUAUGAUUUGAAAUACUUGCACACAAAUCACGCAAAAGCGUUCCUGGAAAUCUCAGCCUAAAAAAGGACGUUUAGUAAUUCUAAAAGGGACUACAGGAUGAAAAACAAUAGUUUGGGCAGUUAAAAUUUGAGAUUCGACGGUGCCGUAGAUCCGUUUGGUCAUCAGGUGUUACGAGCGACACCCUUGUCUAGCUAGAAUAGUGUGUUAGGCUCAGACUAGAGAAGAAACGGGGAACAAAGUGAUGAAAGAAUGAUCAUACCGAGGGAAUUCACUCAGAACUAACAAGAAUGAUAACGUGCUCCGACUGGAGCGGUUUAGUAACUGCUGGAAGGCUCUAGGGGAAUGAAGAUGGAAUGACUUCUAAUUUUUAGGUCCGUAUGAUUUGAAAUACAUGCACACAAACCCUGAGAAAGCGUUCCUGGAAAUCUCGGUCGAAAAAAGGAUGUUUAAUAAUUCUAAAAGGGACUACCGGAUGAAAAACAAUAGUUUUGGCAGUUAAAGUUUGUGAUUCGAUGGUGCCGUAGAUCUGUUUGGUCAUCAGGUGUUACGAGCCACACCCAUGUCUAUCUAGAAUAGUGUGUUAGGCUCAGGCUAGAGCAGAAACGGGGAACAGACUUAUGAAAGAAUGAUCAUACCGAGGGAAUUCACUCAGAACUAACAAGAAUGAUAACGUGCUCCGACUGGCGCGGUUUAGGAACUGCUGGAAGGCUCUAGGGGAAUAAAGAUGGAAAGACUUCUAAUUUUUAGGUCCGUAUGAUUUGAAAUACUUGCACACAAACCGCACGAAAGCGUUCCUGGAAAUCUCAGCCUAAAAAGGAUGUUUAGUAAUUCUAAAAGGGACUACAAGAUGAAAAAUAAUAGUUUGGGCAGUUAAAAUUUGAGAUUCGACGAUGCCGUAGAUCCGUUUGGUCAUCAGGUGUUAUGAGCCACACCCAUGUCUAGCUAGAAUAGUGUGUUAGGCUCAGGCUAGAGAAGAAACGGGGAACAAACUGAUGAAAGAAUGAUCAUACCGAGGGAAUUCACUCAGAACUAACAAGAAUGAUAACGUGCUCCGACUGGAGCAGUUUAGAAACUGCUGGAAGGCUCUAAUGGAAUAAAGAUGGAAUGCCUUCAAAUUUCUAGGUCCGUAUGAUUUGAAAUACUUGCACACAAACCGCUCGAAAGCGUUCCUGGAAAUCUCAGCCCAAAAAAGGACGUUUAGUAAUUCUAAAAGGGACUACAGGAUGAAAAACAAUAGUUUUGGCAGUUAAAGUUUGAGAUUCGAUGGUGCCGUAGAUCCGUUUGGUCAUCAGGUGUAACGAGCCACACACAUGUCUAGCUAGAGUAGUGUGCUAGGCUCAGACUAGAGAAGAAACGGGGAACAAAGUGAUGAAAGAAUGAUCAUACCGAGGGAAUUCACUCAGAACUUACAAGAAUGAUAACGUGCUCCGACUGGAGCGCUUUAGUAACUGCUGGAAGGCUCUAGGCGAAUAAAGAUGGAAUGACUUCUAAUUUUUAGGUCCGUAUGAUUUGAAAUACUUGCACACAAACCACGCAAAACCGUUCCUAGAAAUCUCGGUCGAAAAAAGGACGUUUAGUAAUUCUAAAAGGGACUACAGGAUGAAAAACAAUAGUUUUGGCAGUUAAAGUUUGAGAUUCGAUGGUGCCGUAGAUCCGUUUGGUCAUCAGGUGUUACGAGCCACACCCAUGUCUAGCUAGAGUAGUGUGCUAGGUUCAGACUAGAGAAGAAACGGGGAACAAAGUGAUUAAAGAAUGAUCAUACCGAGGGAAUUCACUCAGAACUAACAAGAAUGAUAACGUGCUCCGACUGGAGCGGUUUAGGAACUGCUGGAAGGCUCUAGGGGAAUAAAGAUGGAAUGACUUCUAAUUUUUACGUCCGUAUGAUUUGAAAUACAUGCACACAAACCACGCAAAAGCGUUCCUGGAAAUCUCAGCCUAAAAAAGGACGUUUAGUAAUUCUAAAAGGGACUACAGGAUGAAAAAUAAUAGUUUGGGCAGUUAAAAUUUGAGAUUCGACGCUGCCGUAGAUCCGUUUGGUCAUCAGGUCUUACGAGCCACACCCAUGUCUAGCUAGAAUAGUGUGUUAGGCUCAGGCUAGAGAAGAAACGGGGAACAA
Molecule: long non-coding RNA, 2636 nt
Filed under: Triticum aestivum (bread wheat)
Lineage: Eukaryota; Viridiplantae; Streptophyta; Magnoliopsida; Poales; Poaceae
Description: long non-coding RNA (TAES_LNC019907)
Source: RNAcentral